RNAcentral lists this ribosomal RNA (255 nucleotides) under uncultured bacterium. RNAcentral describes it as "partial 16S ribosomal RNA". It matches the Rfam family "Bacterial small subunit ribosomal RNA", at positions 1247 to 1500 of the family's 1533-position model. The record is from RNAcentral.
AGGCAAUACCGCGAGGUGGAGCAAACCCCUAAAAGCCGUCCCAGUUCGGAUUGCAGGCUGCAACCCGCCUGUAUGAAGUUGGAAUCGCUAGUAAUCGCGGAUCAGCAUGCCGCGGUGAAUACGUUCCCGGGCCUUGUACACACCGCCCGUCACACCAUGAGAGUCGGGAACACCCGAAGUCCGUAGUCUAACUUUCACGAGAGGACGCGGCCGAAGGUGGGUUCGAUAAUUGGGGUGAAGUCGUAACAAGGUAAC